ACGAACGCUGGCGGCGUGCUUCACACAUGCAAGUCGAACGGAAAGGCCCUGCUUUUGUGGGGUGCUCGAGUGGCGAACGGGUGAGUAACACGUGAGUAACCUGCCCUUGACUUUGGGAUAACUUCAGGAAACUGGGGCUAAUACCGGAUAGGAGCUCCUGCUGCAUGGUGGGGGUUGGAAAGUUUCGGCGGUUGGGGGUGGACUCGCGGCUUAUCAGCUUGUUGGUGGGGUAGUGGCUUACCAAGGCUUUGACGGGUAGCCGGCCUGAGAGGGUGACCGGCCACAUUGGGACUGAGAUACGGCCCAGACUCCUACGGGAGGCAGCAGUGGGGAAUAUUGCACAAUGGGCGGAAGCCUGAUGCAGCAACGCCGCGUGCGGGAUGACGGCCUUCGGGUUGUAAACCGCUUUCGCCUGUGACGAAGCGUGAGUGACGGUAAUGGGUAAAGAAGCACCGGCUAACUACGUG
This 467-nucleotide ribosomal RNA is filed under the name uncultured bacterium. Its description in RNAcentral is "partial 16S ribosomal RNA". It matches the Rfam family "Bacterial small subunit ribosomal RNA", at positions 29 to 507 of the family's 1533-position model. The record is from RNAcentral.